UACGGGGGGGGCAAGCGUUGUUCGGAAUUACUGGGCGUAAAGGGCUCGUAGGUGGCCAACUAAGUCGGACGUGAAAUCCCUCAGCUUAACUGGGGAACUGCGUCCGAUACUGGAUGGCUUGAGUUUGGGAGAGGGAUGCGGAAUUCCAGGUGUAGCGGUGAAAUGCGUAGAUAUCUGGAAGAACACCGGUGGCGAAGGCGGCAUCCUGGACCAACACUGACACUGAGGAGCGAAAGCCAGGGGAGCAAACGGG
RNAcentral lists this ribosomal RNA (253 nucleotides) under uncultured bacterium. RNAcentral describes it as "partial 16S ribosomal RNA". It matches the Rfam family "Bacterial small subunit ribosomal RNA", at positions 524 to 776 of the family's 1533-position model. The record is from RNAcentral.